This 251-nucleotide ribosomal RNA is filed under the name uncultured bacterium. RNAcentral's name for it is "partial 16S ribosomal RNA". It matches the Rfam family "Bacterial small subunit ribosomal RNA", at positions 78 to 339 of the family's 1533-position model. The record is from RNAcentral.
UAGAAAAGGUGAGAGAUGAUGGCGAGCGGCGGACGGCUGAGUAACACGUAGGAACGUACCCCAAACUGAGGGAUAAGCACCAGAAAUGGUGUCUAAUACCGCAUGUGGUCUUCGGACUAAAGCUUCGGCGGUUUGGGAACGGCCUGCGCUCGAUUAGCUUGUUGGUGAGGUAAUAGCUCACCAAGGCGACGAUCGAUAGCUGGUCUGAGAGGAUGAUCAGCCAGACUGGAACUGAGAACGGUCCAGACUCC